GUGGGGAAUCUUAGACAAUGGGGGAAACCCUGAUCUAGCCAUGCCGCGUGAGCGAUGAAGGCCUUAGGGUUGUAAAGCUCUUUCAGCUGGGAAGAUAAUGACGGUACCAGCAGAAGAAGCCCCGGCUAACUCCGUGCCAGCAGCCGCGGUAAUACGGAGGGGGCUAGCGUUGUUCGGAAUUACUGGGCGUAAAGCGAACGUAGGCGGAUCAGAAAGUCAGAGGUGAAAUCCCAGGGCUCAACCUUGGAACUGCAUUUGAAACUCCUGGUCUUGAGGUCGAGAGAGGUGAGUGGAAUUCCGAGUGUAGAGGUGAAAUUCGUAGAUAUUCGGAGGAACACCAGUGGCGAAGGCGGCUCACUGGCUCGAUACUGACGCUGAGGUGCGAAAGCGUGGGGAGCAAACAGGAUUAGAAACCCGAGUAGUCC
Molecule: ribosomal RNA, 425 nt
Filed under: uncultured bacterium
Lineage: Bacteria
Description: partial 16S ribosomal RNA
Rfam family: Bacterial small subunit ribosomal RNA
Source: RNAcentral